RNAcentral lists this ribosomal RNA (1205 nucleotides) under Winogradskyella sp. RNAcentral's name for it is "bacterial SSU rRNA". It matches the Rfam family "Bacterial small subunit ribosomal RNA", at positions 1 to 1203 of the family's 1533-position model. Lineage: Bacteria; Pseudomonadati; Bacteroidota; Flavobacteriia; Flavobacteriales; Flavobacteriaceae. The record is from RNAcentral.
ACGAUGAAGAGUUUGAUCCUGGCUCAGGAUGAACGCUAGCGGCAGGCCUAACACAUGCAAGUCGAACGGUAACAGGGAGAAGCUUGCUUUUCCGCUGACGAGUGGCGCACGGGUGCGUAACGCGUAUACAACCUACCUUUUACAGGGGGAUAGCCUUUGGAAACGAAGAAUAAUACCCCAUAGCAAGUGAUUUUCGCAUGGAAGACACUUUAAAGAUUCGUCGGUAAAAGAUGGGUAUGCGUCCUAUUAGCUAGAUGGUGUGGUAACGGCACACCAUGGCAACGAUAGGUAGGGGCCCUGAGAGGGGGAUCCCCCACACUGGUACUGAGACACGGACCAGACUCCUACGGGAGGCAGCAGUGAGGAAUAUUGGACAAUGGGCGAGAGCCUGAUCCAGCCAUGCCGCGUGCAGGAAGACUGCCCUAUGGGUUGUAAACUGCUUUUAUACGGGAAGAAACCCGUCCACGUGUGGGCGGCUGACGGUACCGUAAGAAUAAGGAUCGGCUAACUCCGUGCCAGCAGCCGCGGUAAUACGGAGGAUCCGAGCGUUAUCCGGAAUCAUUGGGUUUAAAGGGUCCGUAGGUGGACGAUUAAGUCAGAGGUGAAAUCCUGCAGCUCAACUGUAGAAUUGCCUUUGAUACUGGUCGUCUUGAAUUAUUGUGAAGUGGUUAGAAUAUGUAGUGUAGCGGUGAAAUGCAUAGAUAUUACAUAGAAUACCAAUUGCGAAGGCAGAUCACUAACAAUAUAUUGACACUGAUGGACGAAAGCGUGGGGAGCGAACGGGAUUAGAUACCCCGGUAGUCCACGCCGUAAACGAUGGUCACUAGCUGUUCGGACUUCGGUCUGAGUGGCUAAGCGAAAGUGAUAAGUGACCCACCUGGGGAGUACGUUCGCAAGAAUGAAACUCAAAGGAAUUGACGGGGGCCCGCACAAGCGGUGGAGCAUGUGGUUUAAUUCGAUGAUACGCGAGGAACCUUACCAGGGCUUAAAUGUAAGUUGCAUGGGGUAGAGAUGCCCCUUUCUUCGGACUACUUACAAGGUGCUGCAUGGUUGUCGUCAGCUCGUGCCGUGAGGUGUCAGGUUAAGUCCUAUAACGAGCGCAACCCCUGUUGUUAGUUGCCAGCAUGUAAAGAUGGGAACUCUAGCAAGACUGCCGGUGCAAACCGCGAGGAAGGUGGGGAUGACGUCAAAUCAUCACGGCCCUU